Seriola dumerili (greater amberjack) is the source of this 771-nucleotide long non-coding RNA. RefSeq lists it as uncharacterized. Lineage: Eukaryota; Metazoa; Chordata; Actinopteri; Carangiformes; Carangidae. The transcript has 3 exons. The record is from RefSeq and is a predicted model, not a curated record.
AACACAUUUAUUCUGGACUGAAACCUUGUACAAAUACGUCUGUAAGGGCAUCUGCCACACCGGUCCUACCUCACCUGAAACCUGUACAAGCAAGCUACAGUAACGUAAGACAAAGAUCCCCUCAACAAUAAAUAUUCUUCUUCCCGGAUGAUAGCUUGGAGUUGGAGUGAACUGACCUGACCGCCCACAACCCGGACUGCUCCUCUUUGUGGGUCAGUGAUGCAGCGGGAGUGACGCAGCAGUGGCAGCAGCCUCCAGAAGGCAAAUAUACACUGCAGGAACAGGGAACCUCUACUAGAACAGACAACAGUGAAGAAGGAAGAUGGUUAAAGCCUGGGCCGAAGGGAGAACAGGAGCCAGGUAGUCACUCUGCUUUACUCCUUCUAAGCAAACAUCAGAGAGACUUCCACAACGGCAGAGGCAGGCACAGCAAGACCUUCAGCACUGAAACACUUUUGGUAGGCAACUCAAAGUAUGAGUGCUUGUUAUGUCAGUGACUUAAGUGCUACCAGAGAUGAGUGUCUUUGUAUGCUAAGAGUGUGAAUGCUUUGAGAAUGAGGAUGAGGCCUACUCAGCCUUGUACUGCGGUCUGUGUUUCCCUGCUGAUCAGCGUCCCUACAGGCUGCAGCUGAGCUUACAGAGCAUCAGAGGCACAAGGCCUGUAAACUUUGUCCUGAGGUUUUCACCACAUCCUAGCUGUGAUAUCAAGUGUGCAUGACAAGGUGAUGCUUACAAAAUACUUCAGAGGAUCUACUAUAUGGAGCUCCAUGA